AGAAAAAUGAAGAGGAGGAUCCGUUUGAAAGGAGAAGGAAGAAAACCAGUGGAAACAGGAGUGAGCCAGCUUUGCUCCUUUUCUUGAGCUUUCAACCAGGCUGCCUUCUCCUAUGGCAUUCCCUCCUUUUGUAUUACCUGGAAGAAACAAAUUAUAUUGUCCCAGCCACCAGCAAACUGUUACAGAACCAUUAAGGUAACUACGUUACCUAAUUGAGCGAAUUGAGUAAUGCGAGAUCUUGUUAUUAUAACCUUUGUCCUUAAAAAAUGUGAACUAAUAGAAGCCAGCUGCUAAAUUGGCCCGCAGCCAUCUAGUUUUCCUAAAGAUCAUGAUUCACGGCGCUUCACAAAAGCCGU
This 356-nucleotide long non-coding RNA is filed under the name Calidris pugnax (ruff). RNAcentral describes it as "lncRNA (ENSCPUG00000008947.1)". The record is from RNAcentral. Lineage: Eukaryota; Metazoa; Chordata; Aves; Charadriiformes; Scolopacidae.